This 233-nucleotide long non-coding RNA is filed under the name Dermacentor andersoni. RNAcentral's name for it is "uncharacterized LOC126520676". Lineage: Eukaryota; Metazoa; Arthropoda; Arachnida; Ixodida; Ixodidae. The record is from RNAcentral.
CAUGGCGUCUGUCUUACGGAGCCGGUUGCGCUGCGAAGCGGUCCGUAUUUCGUGCCCACUUAGAGCACUGAACAUCCCACGUCUUGGUUUGACUUCCUGGUACAGGAUACUUGCACUUAGCAUGGAGUGAUGAAGCAGAGCAGUGUACUUUUAUGAAAUGUGGAGAUUUUAGCAGUAUAACAGCGGUUCAUUAAAAAAAAAUGUGUGCUGAAAAUAAAGUGUUCCUACCCACA